AUACGUAGGGAGCGAGCGUUGUCCGGAAUUACUGGGUGUAAAGGGAGCGUAGGCGGGAGUGCAAGUCAGAUGUGAAAUACAUGGGCUCAACCCAUGGGCUGCAUUUGAAACUGCAUUUCUUGAGUGAAGUAGAGGUAAGCGGAAUUCCUGGUGUAGCGGUGAAAUGCGUAGAUAUCAGGAGGAACACCGGUGGCGAAGGCGGCUUACUGGGCUUUUACUGACGCUGAGGCUCGAAAGCGUGGGGAGCAAACAGGAUUAGAUACCCUGGUAGUCCACGCUGUAAACGAUGAUUACUAGGUGUGGGGGGACUGACCCCUUCCGUGCCGCAGUUAACACAAUAAGUAAUCCACCUGGGGAGUACGGCCGCAAGGUUGGAACUCAAAGGAAUUGACGGG
RNAcentral lists this ribosomal RNA (395 nucleotides) under uncultured bacterium. RNAcentral describes it as "partial 16S ribosomal RNA". It matches the Rfam family "Bacterial small subunit ribosomal RNA", at positions 523 to 917 of the family's 1533-position model. The record is from RNAcentral.